Long non-coding RNA from Ipomoea nil (Japanese morning glory), 245 nucleotides. RefSeq lists it as uncharacterized. The record is from RefSeq and is a predicted model, not a curated record. Lineage: Eukaryota; Viridiplantae; Streptophyta; Magnoliopsida; Solanales; Convolvulaceae. The transcript has 4 exons.
AUUUCAAUUUUUCUAUCCAUGACAAUAUAUCUAUUUCCAUUCUUCUAUCCAUUGACAAUAUCUCCAUCGGGCUGAACUGCAUAUCAUAGUUCAGAGGAGUCUUUUUUUCGUGGUCAUGUUUGUCACCCAGGAUGAGAUUCACAUACGUCAUGACCAGUUAUAUCGUUUCACGCUUUAUGAAAAAAGAACUCGCCAAGUAAACGAGAGGAAGUAACUCGUCAAAACAACGAGAGAAAAAACACAGA